RNAcentral lists this small RNA (671 nucleotides) under Pan troglodytes (chimpanzee). Its description in RNAcentral is "processed transcript". The record is from RNAcentral. Lineage: Eukaryota; Metazoa; Chordata; Mammalia; Primates; Hominidae.
GCAUGCGCACCUCGCCAGGGCCGGGGCCGGGACGGGACAGAAACUGGCGGCUUGGUUUGUUCAGCGCGUCGCGGUCAUGGCUCUCGUUUCAGGCCUCCACGGUGUGCACCUGGAGUCAGGAGCGCGCUUGUGCGUACAGUUCGGUUCAGUUACUAAAAGAUGUAACCGAACUGCAGAUCCUUGGUGAAAUAUCUUUCAACAAAUCUCUAUAUGAGGGACUGAAUGCAGAGAACCACAGAACUAAGAUCACUGUCGUCUUCCUGAAAGAUGAGAAGUACCAUUCUUUGCCUAUCAUCAUUAAAGGCAGCGUUGGUGGACUUCUGGUGUUGAUCGUGAUUCUGGUCAUCCUGUUCAAGUGUGGCUUUUUUAAAAGAAAAUAUCAACAACUGAACUUGGAGAGCAUCAGGAAGGCCCAGCAGAAAUCAGAGAAUCUGCUCGAAGAAGAGAAUUAGGACCUGCUAUCCACUGGGAGAGGCUAUCAGCCAGUCCUGGGACUUGGAGACCCAGCAUACUUUGCAUUACUUUUUCCUUCAGGAUGAUCUAGAGCAGCAUGGAGCUGUUGGUAGAAUAUUAGUUUUUAACCAUACAUUGUCCCAAAAGUGUCUGUGCAUUGUGCAAAAAGUAAACUUAGGAAACAUUUGGUAUUAAAUAAAUUUACACUUUUCUUUGCA